Molecule: ribosomal RNA, 398 nt
Filed under: uncultured bacterium
Lineage: Bacteria
Description: bacterial SSU rRNA
Rfam family: Bacterial small subunit ribosomal RNA
Source: RNAcentral
GACGAACGCUGGCGGCGUGCUUAACACAUGCAAGUCGAGCGGUAAGGCCCUUUCGGGGGUACACGAGUGGCGAACGGGUGAGUAACACGUGGGUGACCUGCCCUCAGCUCUGGGAUAAGCCUGGGAAACCGGGUCUAAUACUGGAUAUGACUCCAUGACGCAUGUUGUGGGGUGGAAAGCCUUGUGCGGCUGAGGAUGGGCCCGCGGCCUAUCAGCUUGUUGGUGGGGUGAGGCCUACCAAGGCGACGACGGGUAGCCGGCCUGAGAGGGCGACCGGCCACACUGGGACUGAGACACGGCCCAGACUCCUACGGGAGGCAGCAGUGGGGAAUCUUGCGCAAUGGGCGAAAGCCUGACGCAGCGACGCCGCGUGAGGGAUGACGGCCUCGGUGUAACGU